RNAcentral lists this ribosomal RNA (497 nucleotides) under uncultured bacterium. RNAcentral describes it as "partial 16S ribosomal RNA". It matches the Rfam family "Bacterial small subunit ribosomal RNA", at positions 28 to 507 of the family's 1533-position model. The record is from RNAcentral.
GAUGAACGCUGGCGGCGUGCCUAAUACAUGCAAGUCGAGCGAACGGACGAGAAGCUUGCUUUUCUGAUGUUAGCGGCGGACGGGUGAGUAACACGUGGAUAACCUACCUAUAAGACUUGGAUAACUUCGGGAAACCGGAGCUAAUACCGGAUAAUAUUUUGAACCGCAUGGUUCAAAAGUGAAAGACGGUCUUGCUGUCACUUAUAGAUGGAUCCGCGCUUCAUUAGCUAGUUGGUAAGGUAACGGCUUACCAAGGCAACGAUGCAUAGCCGACCUGAGAGGGUGAUCGGCCACACUGGAACUGAGACACGGUCCAGACUCCUACGGGAGGCAGCAGUAGGGAAUCUUCCGCAAUGGGCGAAAGCCUGACGGAGCAACGCCGCGUGAGUGAUGAAGGUCUUCGGAUCGUAAAACUCUGUUAUUAGGGAAGAACAUAUGUGUAAGUAACUGUGCACAUCUUGACGGUACCUAAUCAGAAAGCCACGGCUAACUACGUG